GACGAACGCUGGCGGCGUGCCUAAUACAUGCAAGUAGAACGCUGAAGGAGGAGCUUGCUUCUCUGGAUGAGUUGCGAACGGGUGAGUAACGCGUAGGUAACCUGCCUGGUAGCGGGGGAUAACUCUUGGAAACGAUAGCUAAUACCGCAUAAGAGUAGAUGUUGCAUGACAUUUGCUUAAAAGGUGCAAUUGCAUCACUACCAGAUGGACCUGCGUUGUAUUAGCUAGUUGGUGAGGUAACGGCUCACCAAGGCGACGAUACAUAGCCGACCUGAGAGGGGGGUCGGCCACACUGGGACGGAGACACGGCCCAGACGCCUACGGGAGGCAGCAGUAGGGAAACGUCGGCAAUGGACGGAAGUCUGACCGAGCAACGCCGCGUGAGGGAAGAAGGUUUUCGGAUCGUAAAGCUCGGUUGUAAGAGAAGAACGAGUGUGAGGGUGGAAAGUUCACACUGUGACGGUAUCUUAACAGAAAGGGACGGCUAACUACGUG
RNAcentral lists this ribosomal RNA (495 nucleotides) under uncultured bacterium. RNAcentral's name for it is "partial 16S ribosomal RNA". It matches the Rfam family "Bacterial small subunit ribosomal RNA", at positions 28 to 507 of the family's 1533-position model. The record is from RNAcentral.